GACGAACGCUGGCGGCGUGCUUAACACAUGCAAGUCGAACGGAAAGGCCCCUUUGGGGGUCCUCGAGUGGCGAACGGGUGAGUAACACGUGAGUAACCUGCCCUUGACUUCGGGAUAACUUCAGGAAACCGGGGCUAAUACCGGAUAGGAAUCCUUGCUGCAUGGUGGGGGUUGGAAAGCUUCGGCGGUUUUGGAUGGACUCGCGGCUUAUCAGCUUGUUGGUGGGGUAGUGGCUUACCAAGGCUUUGACGGGUAGCCGGCCUGAGAGGGCGACCGGCCACAUUGGGACUGAGAUACGGCCCAGACUCCUACGGGAGGCAGCAGUGGGGAAUAUUGCACAAUGGGCGGAAGCCUGAUGCAGCAACGCCGCGUGCGGGAUGACGGCCUUCGGGUUGUAAACCGCUUUCAGCAGGGGCGAAGCUUGUGGUGACGGUACCUGCAGAAGAAGCACCGGCUAACUACGUG
RNAcentral lists this ribosomal RNA (465 nucleotides) under uncultured bacterium. Its description in RNAcentral is "partial 16S ribosomal RNA". It matches the Rfam family "Bacterial small subunit ribosomal RNA", at positions 28 to 507 of the family's 1533-position model. The record is from RNAcentral.